Molecule: long non-coding RNA, 1739 nt
Filed under: Citrus sinensis (sweet orange)
Lineage: Eukaryota; Viridiplantae; Streptophyta; Magnoliopsida; Sapindales; Rutaceae
Description: long non-coding RNA (CSIN_LNC001316)
Source: RNAcentral
AUGUGACUCUAAAAAAAUUGCAGGCUUUUCAAAAUUUUUUUUUUUCUUUUUCUUCCCAGAUUGUCAGCUUCUUUGGAUUCAGGUCCUGCAAUUGUAAAGGCCUGAUCAGUACUCAAUUUUAGACAUAGCAGGUGUUAAAAAUGAGACUGAUGCAAUAUUUAAUUACGAAUUCUCCAAAUUUGAACCCUACGUAAACUUGAUUUAGAUAAUCAUGAUGUAAGAAGCAAUAAUGAUACAUGAUUAGGUGUACAAAAAGUUAUCGUUAAUGUAAAUAUAGAAAUUUGUAGAACUGGCAGUCGCAGCUCAUCAUGAUUAGUUGUGCAAUACCUUUAAUGGUAAAGCAUUAAUGAAAUUCUAUAAAGACUAAAAACCAUUUAAACCAAAAGAUAUAGAUUUGAUUGCCGCUCACAUGGGUGGGAAAGGGAGUAGAUUACUAUUAAGCCUAAUAAUAAUAAUAAGGAGCCCCUACGUUACGAUUAACGUAACGUACACUCACACACAGCAACAGUACCAAUUCAUCCAAUUCCUCAAUACCCAAAAACGCUGAUCUAAGCUUGCUUUAGAAAAGAUAAUUAUUAGGUAAGAAACAAUGAUACAUGAUUGGUGGUGUAUAAACAUUUAUCAUUUGUGCAAUAAUAUUGAAACUUGAAACACUGAUAACAUGAUUAGUUGUACAAUAUCUUAACGUUAAUGCAAUUUUAAAAAGAGUAAAGAGCAUUUAAAUGCAAAAUCAGCACCAAUUCCUCAAAAGCCAUUUGUUCUUCUGUAUAUCCAUACAAAAUUACAAAUGAUGCAACAAUGUUCUUGCUACUCACAAAAUAAAGAGAUUAUAGCUGUGAAACCCUUUGAUUUACAGCUACAACGGGUGGCUGCAGUUGCCCUUUACAUUUACAUCCUCACCGAGUUCAUGAGUACAACUUAUAGCUUCGAAAUUGACCUCAUUCCAAGAACCUCCAUUGAUUCAAAUCUUUUCCCCAAACACCUUACUCAUGAAGAAACAUAUCAUAGAAUUGCUUCACUUUCGAGAGCUCAUGCUCAUCAUCUCAGUUCCAUGAAUUCUGCCAAAUCCUCCCGAAAACAAAGCACACCCCGAGCCUGAUCAGUGGAUGCAACCACCAACUUUUUCUUUUCCUUUUGCUAAUAUAUAUGUAACAAAGGAUCGAGUUAAUUGGUUCAAGACAAUUCUCACCUUACCUGGUUAUGGAUACUGGUAGUGGGCUAUAUGUGACUUCAAUCUGAAAGAUUGAUUAGACAUUGAUCCGGCAUUGUUUGAGCUAAGCCGUGGCAGUUCAGGUCGGGUUUGCUAUUGAUUCACGCGUUGGACUGAUAAUUCAGGUUCCUGCUGCAUAUAAAGUUUGAAAGCUGAGAUGAUCAAGCACGUUGUUAUACAAAAUGGCUGGCAUCUCGUAGAGGCAGAGAAUUCAAAGAAAAUUCCAUAUGACUUCUGCUUUUGGGUCACACCAACUGGCAUUAAUGAUUCAAAACCAUCAAUGACAAUCCAUUUUGAGGAAGCUGAUCUUGUUCUGGAGCCUAAUGCUGUGUCUCAGAAAGUUGGUGAUCCCUUAUGAAUGAAUGUUAUCCCCAGCUAUCCUAAUGGACCAAAUCUAUUAGGGGCUUCUCAGCAGGCAAACAACCAUUUCUUGUUCGAUGUUAGAAAAUUUAUUUUGUCAUUUAUUACUGAAAAAAGUAAUGAAUAGGUAGGUUACAAGGUUAAAAUGUAAUGACUGGGUAGAUUAUAA